RNAcentral lists this long non-coding RNA (1423 nucleotides) under Triticum aestivum (bread wheat). RNAcentral's name for it is "long non-coding RNA (TAES_LNC013791)". Lineage: Eukaryota; Viridiplantae; Streptophyta; Magnoliopsida; Poales; Poaceae. The record is from RNAcentral.
UUAGCUUUACUUGAAGAUAACAAAUCUGCUUAUGACCAGAUAAUAAAAUACCAGCAAGCUCAUCUAGCUGCAGCCAGCGAGGUCUGAAUGCCGAGUUCUCUAAAGAAAGAAUAGGAAAAUCCUUAGCGAUCUUGAAACUUUUCAGUUCAAAAAGACAUAGUAGUACAGUAGCAUUUUGAGCUAAAGAAAUCUUUAAAUAAAGAAAACUUGCAAUCUGGAAACUUUUCAGUUCAAGAAGGCAUAGUAGUAUAGUAACAUUUUGAGCUGAAGAAAUCUUUAAAUAAGGAAAACUUGCUUUGGUGAUGUCCUUGUGUAGGAAUUGCAAAUAAUAAUUCCAAAUUUUUAUUAUACUUUGAAAAAGGAAGCAUCCAUUAUUACAGCACGAAGAUAUGAGAAAACCAAGCCUAUAAGAAUCUAAUCUGUCAUUUACAACAUAGUAGUGGUACCUGAAAUUAAAAUGUACCAAGACAUGAAAAUUUCACUUUUGCCUUAGAGGACUACAUACAGAAUUCUGAGAUGAUGUGGGAAGAAAGAUCACCGAGCUAUUUCAGAUCCUGUAAAUUGAAGGUUGUUUCAUAUCCUGCAGCCGAAAUAACAUAAAGCAAAAGCAGUAAAAUUAUAAUUAGACCGUCUAAGUUAAAUAGGUAAAUGUGCAGCGAGAAUGUUGAAAAAACAAAGACGCCGCUCAAAUCCCCUCGUAUCCACAAAUUCACAAGCUAACUGCACAUUAUAGGAAGUACUUUGCAUUGAGGAAAAAUGAUAAUUGCUUCGAUAGUUCGGUAGACGCAAAAUUUUAUGGAUAUUUGCUCACAUAUCUAAAUGCCAUGCUUCUUGUGCUUCAUAUGUAGCUAAAAUUCCUUGUGAUGUUUUCUAGAACAAGGAACAAAUCAUGUUUCUUGUGGGCCUUGAGAACUCAAAUGUAAUAUGUGCCAUUGUCAUCAUGUUUUUCGUAUCCACAAAAUAUAUAGAGUUAACAUAAUAGUAAGAUGGUUUAGUUAUAGUUGGUCGGAUUUGCCUUUAAAUCAAUUUAACACUAUGAAUGACUUGAAAUAGUCUAAUGCUCCAGAUACAGUUUCAUUUGUUGGGAUUGGAAUUCAAAUUAAAGGGAAUAGGAUGUGAGCAUCAAGAAGGUGAGAACAUAUCCUCCAAUUCACAGAUUCACUUAUUUUCUUCAGUAGAGAUAUGUUUCUCAGCUUCUCCAAAUACCAUGUGACAUGAAUUUACGAUUAAAUAUCAUGAGAUCAAGGACAAUGUAAAUCUAGUGUUCAAUGACGUACCUGACAGGAAGGUCAGGGAACUGUACCACCAAGCCCCAUGCCAGUAUAGUUUCUAGCAUCUCGACUCUUUCCCGUGAUAUUGAAAAGCUCGACAUCAAAAUUAAAUAACAUCAAAAAAUAUUUUUUAUCAGGCUUGACUCCAUGAU